RNAcentral lists this ribosomal RNA (466 nucleotides) under uncultured bacterium. RNAcentral's name for it is "partial 16S ribosomal RNA". It matches the Rfam family "Bacterial small subunit ribosomal RNA", at positions 28 to 507 of the family's 1533-position model. The record is from RNAcentral.
GAUGAACGCUGGCGGCGUGCUUAACACAUGCAAGUCGAACGAUGAAGCCCAGCUUGCUGGGUGGAUUAGUGGCGAACGGGUGAGUAACACGUGAGUAACCUGCCCUUCACUCUGGGAUAAGCCUGGGAAACUGGGUCUAAUACCGGAUAGGAGCGCCUACCGCAUGGUGGGUGUUGGAAAGAUUUAUCGGUUUUGGAUGGACUCGCGGCCUAUCAGCUUGUUGGUGAGGUAAUGGCUCACCAAGGCGACGACGGGUAGCCGGCCUGAGAGGGUGACCGGCCACACUGGGACUGAGACACGGCCCAGACUCCUACGGGAGGCAGCAGUGGGGAAUAUUGCACAAUGGGCGCAAGCCUGAUGCAGCGACGCCGCGUGAGGGAUGACGGCCUUCGGGUUGUAAACCUCUUUCAGUAGGGAAGAAGCGAAAGUGACGGUACCUGCAGAAGAAGCACCGGCUAACUACGUG